RNAcentral lists this ribosomal RNA (265 nucleotides) under uncultured bacterium. Its description in RNAcentral is "partial 16S ribosomal RNA". It matches the Rfam family "Bacterial small subunit ribosomal RNA", at positions 87 to 354 of the family's 1533-position model. The record is from RNAcentral.
CUGUCUUAGUGGCGACGGGUGAGUAACGCGUGGGCAACCUGCCCUGUACCGGGGGAUAACACUUAGAAAUAGGUGCUAAUACCGCAUAAUAGGGAAUACCGCAUGGUAAUCCUUUGAAAACUCCGGUGGUACAGGAUGGGCCCGCGUCUGAUUAGCCAGUUGGCGGGGUAACGGCCCACCAAAGCGACGAUCAGCAGCCGGCCUGAGAGGGUGGACGGCCACACUGGGACUGAGACACGGCCCAGACUCCUACGGGAGGCAGCAG